RNAcentral lists this ribosomal RNA (497 nucleotides) under uncultured bacterium. RNAcentral describes it as "partial 16S ribosomal RNA". It matches the Rfam family "Bacterial small subunit ribosomal RNA", at positions 29 to 507 of the family's 1533-position model. The record is from RNAcentral.
AAUGAACGCUGGCGGCAGGCCUAAUACAUGCAAGUCGAGCGGACGAAGGGAGCUUGCUCCUGGAUUCAGCGGCGGACGGGUGAGUAAUGCCUAGGAAUCUGCCCGGCCUAGGGGGCUAACGUCCGGAAAGGGGACCUAAUCCCACACCGGUCCAGAGGUUGAACCGGGGGGUUCUAUGGUCAUAGACCUUUCUGAUGUCCCUUGGAGGGGUAUCCGGGUCGGAUUAGCUAGGUGGUAGGGUAACGGCCUACCAAGGCAACGAUGCGUAGCUGAUCUGAGAGGGUGAUCAGUCACACUGGAACUGAGACACGGUCCAGACUCCUACGGGAGGCAGCAGUGGGGAAUAUUGGACAAUGGGCGAAAGCCUGAUCCAGCCAUGCCGCGUGUGUGAAGAAGGUCUUCGGAUUGUAAAGCACUGUAAGUUGGGAGGAAGGGCAGUAAGUUAAUACCUUGCUGUUUUGACGUUACCAACAGAAUAAGCACCGGCUAACUUCGUG